RNAcentral lists this ribosomal RNA (253 nucleotides) under uncultured bacterium. Its description in RNAcentral is "partial 16S ribosomal RNA". It matches the Rfam family "Bacterial small subunit ribosomal RNA", at positions 524 to 776 of the family's 1533-position model. The record is from RNAcentral.
UACAGAGGGGGCAAGCGUUAUUCGGAAUUAUUGGGCGUAAAGGGCGCGUAGGCGGUUUGGCAAGUGGCUGGUGAAAUCCCUCGGCUUAACCGAGGAACUGCCGUCCAAACUGCUUCGCUUGAGACCGGGAGAGGUGAGUGGAAUUCCCAGUGUAGCGGUGAAAUGCGUAGAUAUUGGGAGGAACACCAGUGGCGAAGGCGGCUCACUGGACCGGUACUGACGCUGAUGCGCGAAAGCGUGGGGAGCAAACGGG